This 497-nucleotide ribosomal RNA is filed under the name uncultured bacterium. RNAcentral's name for it is "partial 16S ribosomal RNA". It matches the Rfam family "Bacterial small subunit ribosomal RNA", at positions 28 to 507 of the family's 1533-position model. The record is from RNAcentral.
GAUGAACGCUGGCGGCGUGCCUAAUACAUGCAAGUCGAGCGAACAGAUGAGGAGCUUGCUCCUCUGACGUUAGCGGCGGACGGGGGAGUAACACGUGGAUAACCUACCUAUCAGACUGGGAUAACUUCGGGAAACCGGAGCUAAUACCGGAUAAUAUAUUGAACCGCAUGGUUCAAUAGUGAAAGACGGUUUUGCUGUCACUUAUAGAUGGAUCCGCGCCGCAUUAGCUAGUUGGUAAGGUAACGGCCUACCAAGGCAACGAUGCGUAGCCGACCUGAGAGGGUGAUCGGCCACCCGGGAACUGAGACACGGUCCAGACUCCUACGGGAGGCAGCAGUAGGGAAUCUUGCGCAAUGGGCGAAAGCCUGACGGAGCAACGCCGCGCGAGUGAUGACGAUCUUCGGAUCGUAAAACUCUGUUAUUAGGGAAGAACAAGUGUGUAAGUAACUAUGCACGUCUUGACGGUACCUAAUCAGAAAGACACGGCUAACGACGUG